Molecule: ribosomal RNA, 1354 nt
Filed under: uncultured bacterium
Lineage: Bacteria
Description: bacterial SSU rRNA
Rfam family: Bacterial small subunit ribosomal RNA
Source: RNAcentral
AUUGAACGCUGGCGGCAUGCCUUACACAUGCAAGUCGAACGGCAGCACGGAGCUUGUUCUGGUGGCGAGUGGCGAACGGGUGAGUAAUAUAUCGGAACGUACCCUGGAGUGGGGGAUAACGUAGCGAAAGUUACGCUAAUACCGCAUACGAUCUAAGGAUGAAAGUGGGGGAUCCGCAAGAACCUCAUGCUCGUGGAGCGGCCGAUAUCUGAUUAGCUAGUUGGUAGGGUAAAAGCCUACCAAGGCAUCGAUCAGUAGCUGGUCUGAGAGGACGACCAGCCACACUGGAACUGAGACACGGUCCAGACUCCUACGGGAGGCAGCAGUGGGGAAUUUUGGACAAUGGGCGCAAGCCUGAUCCAGCAAUGCCGCGUGAGUGAAGAAGGCCUUCGGGUUGUAAAGCUCUUUUGUCAGGGAAGAAACGGUGGAGGCUAAUAUCCUCUGCUAAUGACGGUACCUGAAGAAUAAGCACCGGCUAACUACGUGCCAGCAGCCGCGGUAAUACAUAGGGUGCAAGCGUUAAUCGGAAUUACUGGGCGUAAAGCGUGCGCAGGCGGUUUUGUAAGUCUGAUGUGAAAUCCCCGGGCUCAACCUGGGAAUUGCAUUGGAGACUGCAAGGCUAGAAUCUGGCAGAGGGGGGUAGAAUUCCACGUGUAGCAGUGAAAUGCGUAGAUAUGUGGAGGAACACCGAUGGCGAAGGCAGCCCCCUGGGUCAAGAUUGACGCUCAUGCACGAAAGCGUGGGGAGCAAACAGGAUUAGAUACCCUGGUAGUCCACGCCCUAAACGAUGUCUACUAGUUGUCGGGUCUUAAUUGACUUGGUAACGCAGCUAACGCGUGAAGUAGACCGCCUGGGGAGUACGGUCGCAAGAUUAAAACUCAAAGGAAUUGACGGGGACCCGCACAAGCGGUGGAUGAUGUGGAUUAAUUCGAUGCAACGCGAAAAACCUUACCUACCCUUGACAUGGCUGGAAUCCCCGAGAGAUCGGGGAGUGCUCGAAAGAGAACCAGUACACAGGUGCUGCAUGGCUGUCGUCAGCUCGUGUCGUGAGAUGUUGGGUUAAGUCCCGCAACGAGCGCAACCCUUGUCAUUAGUUGCUACGAAAGGGCACUCUAAUGAGACUGCCGGUGACAAACCGGAGGAAGGUGGGGAUGACGUCAAGUCCUCAUGGCCCUUAUGGGUAGGGCUUCACACGUCAUACAAUGGUACAUACAGAGCGCCGCCAACCCGCGAGGGGGAGCUAAUCGCAGAAAGUGUAUCGUAGUCCGGAUUGUAGUCUGCAACUCGACUGCAUGAAGUUGGAAUCGCUAGUAAUCGCGGAUCAGCAUGUCGCGGUGAAUACGUUCCCGGGUCU